AUUGAACGCUGGCGGCAGGCCUAACACAUGCAAGUCGAGCGGAUGAAGGGAGCUUGCUCCUGGAUUCAGCGGCGGACGGGUGAGUAAUGCCUAGGAAUCUGCCUGGUAGUGGGGGAUAACGUCCGGAAACGGGCGCUAAUACCGCAUACGUCCUGAGGGAGAAAGUGGGGGAUCUUCGGACCUCACGCUAUCAGAUGAGCCUAGGUCGGAUUAGCUAGUUGGUGGGGUAAAGGCCUACCAAGGCGACGAUCCGUAACUGGUCUGAGAGGGUGGUCAGUCAGUUUGGAAAUGAAACACGUCCCAGUCACCAACGGGGGGGCGAGGGGGGGAAUUUUGGAAAUUGGGGGAAAACUUCUUCCCACCCGGCCGAGGGUGAGAAAGAAGUUUUCGGAUUAUAAAGGAAUUUAGGUGGGGAUGAGGGAGAGUAAUGUUAUACCUUGUUGUUUUAACUUUACCAACAGAAUAAACCCCGGGAUAAUUCGG
This 483-nucleotide ribosomal RNA is filed under the name uncultured bacterium. Its description in RNAcentral is "partial 16S ribosomal RNA". It matches the Rfam family "Bacterial small subunit ribosomal RNA", at positions 30 to 505 of the family's 1533-position model. The record is from RNAcentral.